UGUGAGUGAAGAGCAGUGAAAGUGCAGCAGUGCAAAGGCCUGGAAAAAGUUGAACUAUCAGUUUUACAGGAUCACAGUGACUUUCAGUAAAAAUGCCGCUACCUGCUAUAAAAGUUGACCAGAAAUCACUUGGGCCUGUCCAAGUAAUGAUUGGAGUUGUGAUAUUCAUGUUCGGGAUCAUAACCAAAGAUAUAAGUGAUUUAUCUGUCCUCAGCAGAGUCAUGUUCUGGGGUUCUGUUAGCUUUUUCUGCUCUGGUGCUACAUCAGCUGCUACCGUGGACCAUCGUCAUUCCUUUUUGGUAAAAUCCUCACUGAUUUUGAACCUGAUCAGCACCAUUGCUGCACUUGUAGCUGUCAUUGUACUCUCUAUUGAUCUGGUGAACAUGUCUGCAGAAGUACCAUGGUCUGAUCUAAUGACAUGUCAAAUUUCUGCUGUACUUAUGCUUUUACGUCGCACCUAUAGAGUGCUCUUGUUUCUUUCUAUAACUGAGGUUUGCAUGUCCAUCUGGACAUUUGUACUUAUCUGGAAAUCCAGAGACUCCACUUAAGCUAUGUCUUAGGCAGCGGAUCAGAAAUUAACAUGAGGAAAACAUCAACCUGCCUUCAGUUUUUUAUUAUGCUUAAAAAAUUACAUAAAUAAAAAAUUUUCCUAAAACAAACAAAGCCCUGAUUAGACUCUCUCUCUCUCUCUCUCUCUCUCUGUUUUUCCUAGGAAUGUUAUAAUGUGCCUUUUUACAGUAAAUGUGAGACUAAAUACCAAAUAAUU
Clarias gariepinus (North African catfish) is the source of this 766-nucleotide RNA transcript. It is a transcript of the gene named membrane-spanning 4-domains subfamily A member 12-like, with no coding region annotated. The transcript is spliced from 7 exons. Lineage: Eukaryota; Metazoa; Chordata; Actinopteri; Siluriformes; Clariidae. The record is from RefSeq and is a predicted model, not a curated record.